Molecule: ribosomal RNA, 498 nt
Filed under: uncultured bacterium
Lineage: Bacteria
Description: partial 16S ribosomal RNA
Rfam family: Bacterial small subunit ribosomal RNA
Source: RNAcentral
GACGAACGCUGGCGGCGUGCCUAAUACAUGCAAGUCGAACGAGAGCACCCGGUGCUUGCACUGGUCAAUCUAGUGGCGAACGGGUGAGUAACACGUGGGUAACCUGCCCAUCAGAGGGGGAUAACAUCCGGAAACGGAUGCUAAAACCGCAUAGGUCUUCGAACCGCAUGGUUUGAAGAGGAAAAGAGGCUCUAGCUUCUGCUGUUGGUUGUUCCCGCGUUGCAUUAGCUAGUUUGUUAGGUAACGGCUCACCAAGGCCGUGAUGCAUAGCCGACCUGAGGGGGUGAUCGGCCAAAUUGGGACUGAGACACGGCCCAAACUCCUACGGGAGGCAGCAGUAGGGAAUCUUCCGCAAUGGGCGCAAGUCUGACGGAGCAACGCCGCGUGAGUGAAGAAGGUUUUCGGAUCGUAAAACUCUGUUGUUAGAGAAGAACAAGUGCUAGAGUAACUGUUAGCGCCUUGACGGUAUCUAACCAGAAAGCCACGGCUAACUACGUG